RNAcentral lists this ribosomal RNA (1343 nucleotides) under uncultured bacterium. RNAcentral's name for it is "16S ribosomal RNA". It matches the Rfam family "Bacterial small subunit ribosomal RNA", at positions 28 to 1378 of the family's 1533-position model. The record is from RNAcentral.
GACGAACGCUGGCGGCGUGCUUAACACAUGCAAGUCGAACGGAAAGGCCCUGCUUUUGUGGGGUGCUCGAGUGGCGAACGGGUGAGUAACACGUGAGUAACCUGCCCUUGACUUUGGGAUAACUUCAGGAAACUGGGGCUAAUACCGGAUAGGAGCUCCUGCUGCAUGGUGGGGGUUGGAAAGUUUCGGCGGUUGGGGAUGGACUCGCGGCUUAUCAGCUUGUUGGUGGGGUAGUGGCUUACCAAGGCUUUGACGGGUAGCCGGCCUGAGAGGGUGACCAGCCACAUUGGGACUGAGAUACGGCCCAGACUCCUACGGGAGGCAGCAGUGGGGAAUAUUGCACAAUGGGCGGAAGCCUGAUGCAGCAACGCCGCGUGCGGGAUGACGGCCUUCGGGUUGUAAACCGCUUUCGCCUGUGACGAAGCGUGAGUGACGGUAAUGGGUAAAGAAGCACCGGCUAACUACGUGCCAGCAGCCGCGGUGAUACGUAGGGUGCGAGCGUUGUCCGGAUUUAUUGGGCGUAAAGGGCUCGUAGGUGGUUGAUCGCGUCGGAAGUGUAAUCUUGGGGCUUAACCCUGAGCGUGCUUUCGAUACGGGUUGACUUGAGGAAGGUAGGGGAGAAUGGAAUUCCUGGUGGAGCGGUGGAAUGCGCAGAUAUCAGGAGGAACACCAGUGGCGAAGGCGGUUCUCUGGGCCUUUCCUGACGCUGAGGAGCGAAAGCGUGGGGAGCGAACAGGCUUAGAUACCCUGGUAGUCCACGCUGUAAACGGUGGGUACUAGGUGUGGGGUCCAUUCCACGGGUUCCGUGCCGUAGCUAACGCUUUAAGUACCCCGCCUGGGGAGUACGGCCGCAAGGCUAAAACUCAAAGGAAUUGACGGGGCCCCGCACAAGCGGCGGAGCAUGCGGAUUAAUUCGAUGCAACGCGUAGAACCUUACCUGGGUUUGACAUGGAUCGGGAGUGCUCAGAGAUGGGUGUGCCUCUUUUGGGGUCGGUUCACAGGUGGUGCAUGCCUGUCGUCAGCUCGUGUCGUGAGAUGUUGGGUUAAGUCCCGCAACGAGCGCAACCCUUGUUCACUGUUGCCAGCACGUUAUGGUGGGGACUCAGUGGAGACCGCCGGGGUCAACUCGGAGGAAGGUGGGGAUGACGUCAAGUCCUCAUGCCCCUUAUGUCCAGGGCUUCACGCAUGCUACAAUGGCUGGUACAGAGAGUGGCGAGCCUGUGAGGGUGAGCGAAUCUCGGAAAGCCGGUCUCAGUUCGGAUUGGGGUCUGCAACUCGACCUCAUGAAGUCGGAGUCGCUAGUAAUCGCAGAUCAGCAACGCUGCGGUGAAUACGUUCCCGGG